AGAGCGAACGCUGGCGGCAGGCCUAACACAUGCAAGUCGAACGGACCCUUCGGGGUUAGUGGCGGACGGGUGAGUAACACGUGGGAACGUGCCUUUUGGUUCGGAAUAGCUCCUGGAAACGGGUGGUAAUGCCGAAUGUGCCCUUCGGGGGAAAGAUUUAUCGCCAUUAGAGCGGCCCGCGUCUGAUUAGCUAGUUGGUAAGGUAAUGGCUUACCAAGGCGACGAUCAGUAGCUGGUCUGAGAGGAUGACCAGCCACAUUGGGACUGAGACACGGCCCAAACUCCUACGGGAGGCAGCAGUGGGGAAUCUUGCGCAAUGGGCGAAAGCCUGACGCAGCCAUGCCGCGUGAAUGAUGAAGGUCUUAGGAUUAGUAAAAUUCUUUACACCGGGACGAUAAUGACGGUACCCGGAGAAGAAGCCCGCUAACUUCGCGCCAGCAGCCG
RNAcentral lists this ribosomal RNA (444 nucleotides) under uncultured soil bacterium. RNAcentral describes it as "bacterial SSU rRNA". It matches the Rfam family "Bacterial small subunit ribosomal RNA", at positions 26 to 517 of the family's 1533-position model. The record is from RNAcentral.